RNAcentral lists this non-coding RNA (27 nucleotides) under Cricetulus griseus (Chinese hamster). The record is from RNAcentral. Lineage: Eukaryota; Metazoa; Chordata; Mammalia; Rodentia; Cricetidae.
UACAAACUUAAAGGGCUUUUCAUCAGG